GACGAACGCUGGCGGCGUGCUUAACACAUGCAAGUCGAACGGAAAGGCCCUGCUUUUGUGGGGUGCUCGAGUGGCGAACGGGUGAGUAACACGUGAGUAACCUGCCCUUGACUUUGGGAUAACUUCAGGAAACUGGGGCUAAUACCGGAUAGGAGCUCCUGCUGCAUGGUGGGGGUUGGAAAGUCUCGGCGGUUGGGGAUGGACUCGCGGCUUAUCAGCUUGUUGGUGGGGUAGUGGCUUACCAAGGCUUUGACGGGUAGCCGGCCUGAGAGGGUGACCGGCCACAUUGGGACUGAGAUACGGCCCAGACUCCUACGGGAGGCAGCAGUGGGGAAUAUUGCACAAUGGGCGGAAGCCUGAUGCAGCAACGCCGCGUGCGGGAUGACGGCCUUCGGGUUGUAAACCGCUUUCGCCUGUGACGAAGCGUGAGUGACGGUAAUGGGUAAAGAAGCACAGGCUAACUACGUG
This 468-nucleotide ribosomal RNA is filed under the name uncultured bacterium. RNAcentral's name for it is "partial 16S ribosomal RNA". It matches the Rfam family "Bacterial small subunit ribosomal RNA", at positions 28 to 507 of the family's 1533-position model. The record is from RNAcentral.